Molecule: ribosomal RNA, 2733 nt
Filed under: Triticum aestivum (bread wheat)
Lineage: Eukaryota; Viridiplantae; Streptophyta; Magnoliopsida; Poales; Poaceae
Description: partial small subunit ribosomal RNA
Source: RNAcentral
AUGGAGCUGCUGGGGAGAUCGCUCCUGCAGGCAGGCUCUGCAAGCACCGCGGCGCCGCGCGGCGGCCGGGAGCGCGCGGGCGGCGGGCUCUGCUUCGCGAGCCUGGGCGGGAGGCCGUCGAGGAGGACGGUGAGGUCGAAGGCGCCGGUGGGCGCCCUGGCCGAGCGGGUCGUCCUCACCCCGGCGCCGGCGGAGAGGGUGGCCCGGCCGGAGGCGCACCCGCAGAGCGUGGCGGCGAGGGCCGUGGUCACCGUGCGCCGGAAGCGCAAGGUGGAGGUCAAGGAGCAGGUCGCCGAGCAGAUGGACGCCUACGCCGACAGGGUCGGCCGGAGCGUCCUGCUCGAGCUCAUCAGCACGGAGACGGACCCGAGAAAGGGAGGCCCCAAGAAGAGCAGGAAGUCGAGGCUGGUGGGGUGGUUCGAGAAGCGGGACGUCAAGGCGGAGCUGGUGGUGUACACGGCGGGGUUCACCGUCGACGCGGCCUUCGGCGAGCCGGGCGCGGUCACCGUCCUCAACCGGCACCAGCGCGAGUUCUUCAUCGAGAGCAUCCUGGUGGAGGGCUUCCCGUCCGGCCCGGCGCACUUCACCUGCAACUCGUGGGUCCAGCCCACCCGCGUCGACCCCACCCCGCGGGUCUUCUUCACCAACAAGCCCUACCUGCCGUCCAAGACGCCGCCGGGGCUGAGGGAGCUCCGGCGACGGGAGCUCAAGGAGCUGCGCGGCAGCGGCACCGGCGUGCGCAAGACCACCCACCGGGCCUACGACUACGACGUGUACAACGACCUGGGCAACCCGGACAAGGGCGCCGGGUUCGAGCGCCCCGUCCUCGGCGGCGACAAGCUCCCGUACCCGCGGCGGAUGCGGACGGCCCGGCCAAGCACCGUCACAGACGAGGGCGCGGAGAGCAGGGUGGAGUACCCGGAGCCCAUCUACGUGUCGCGGGACGAGGAGUUCGAGGAGGGCAAGAACGAGAUGCUGUCCGAGGGCGCCAUCAAGGCGCUGCUCCACAACUUCAUGCCGCUGCUGGUGAGCUCCGUCUCGCCGGACAGCCGCGACUUCGCCGGCUUCCACGACGUCGACAACCUCUUCAAGGAGGGCCUCCGCCUCAAGCAGGCCCUGCACGACCAGCUCUUCCAGAAGAUCCCCUUCGUGCGCAAGAUCCAGGAGAACAGCGAGGGCCUCCUCCGCUACGACACCCCCGACAUCAUCAAGAAGGACAAGUUCGCGUGGCUGCGCGACGACGAGUUCGCGAGGCAGGCGCUGGCUGGCAUCAACCCCGUCAACAUCCAGCGGCUUCAGGUGUUCCCGCCGGUGAGCAGGCUCGACCCGGCCGUCUACGGCCCGCCGGAGUCGGCCAUCACGGAGGAGCACAUCAUCGGGAACCUGGACGGCAUGUCGGUGCAGCAGGCGCUGGAGGAGAACAAGCUCUACAUGCUGGACUACCACGACAUCUUCAUGCCUUUCCUGGACCGGAUCAACUCGCUGGACGGCCGCAAGGCCUACGGGACGCGCACGCUCUUCUUCCUGACGGCCGGGGGCACGCUGAAGCCCAUCGCCAUCGAGCUGUGCCUGCCGCCGAUGACCGACGACUGCAAGCGCGCCAAGCGGGUGUUCACGCCCCCCGCCGACGCCACCAGUAUCUGGCUGUGGCAGCUCGCCAAGGCCCAUGUCUGCUCCAACGACGCCGGCGUCCACCAGCUCAUCAACCACUGGCUGAGGACGCACGCGUGCAUGGAGCCCUUCAUCAUCGCGGCGCACCGGCAGAUGAGCGCCAUGCACCCCAUCUUCAAGCUGCUCAAGCCGCACAUGCGGUACACGCUUAAGAUCAACGCGCUGGCGCGGCAGAUCCUCAUCAACGGAGACGGCGUGAUCGAGUCCGGGUUCACCCCCGGCCGCUACUGCAUGGAGAUGAGCUCCUUCGCCUACGACAACCUCUGGCGGCUCGACCAGGAAGGCCUCCCCGCCGACCUCAUCAGAAGAGGUAUGGCCGUGGAGGACGCGAGCCAGCCGCACGGGCUCCGGCUGCUCAUCGAGGACUACCCCUACGCCACCGACGGGCUGCUCCUCUGGUCGGCCAUCGCGCGGUGGUGCGAGGCCUACGUGGCGGCCUACUACCCCUCCGACGAGGCCGUGCAGGACGACUACGAGCUGCAGUCAUGGUACACGGAGGCCGUGCAGGUGGGGCACCCGGACAAGUGCGACGCGCCGUGGUGGCCGCGCCUCACGACGGCCGGCGACCUCGCGUCCCUGCUCACGACGCUGGUGUGGCUGUGCUCGGCGCAGCACGCGGCGCUCAACUUCGGCCAGUACCCGCUCGGCGGCUACAUCCCCAACCGGCCGCCGCUCAUGCGCCGGCUGGUGCCGGCCGAGGGCGACCCGGAGUACGAGCACCUCGUCGCGGACCCGCACCGGUUCUACCUGUCGGCGCUGCCCAGCCUCACGCAGACGACGACGUUCAUGACGGUCAUCGACACGCUGUCCACGCACUCCGCCGACGAGCAGUACCUCGGGGAGCGGCCCAACGAGGAGUGGACGGCGGACCCGGCGGCGCUGGCUGCUGCGCAAGAGUUCGCGGCGGAGGUGCGCCGCGCCGAGGAGGAGAUCGAGCGGCGCAACGCCGACCCCGCCCGGCGCAACCGCUGUGGCGCCGGCGUGCUGCCGUACGAGCUCAUGGCGCCGUCGUCCGGGCCGGGCAUCACCUGCCGAGGCGUCCCGAACAGCGUCACCAUCUAG